RNAcentral lists this ribosomal RNA (252 nucleotides) under uncultured bacterium. Its description in RNAcentral is "partial 16S ribosomal RNA". It matches the Rfam family "Bacterial small subunit ribosomal RNA", at positions 526 to 779 of the family's 1533-position model. The record is from RNAcentral.
CGGAGGAUGCAAGCGUUAUCCGGAAUUAUUGGGCGUAAAGCGUCCGCAGGUGGCACUUCAAGUCUGCUGUCAAAGACCGGGCUUAACCCUGGAGAGGCAGUGGAAACUGAAGCGCUAGAGUGUCGUAGGGGUAGAGGGAAUUCCUGGUGUAGCGGUGAAAUGCGUAGAGAUCAGGAAGAACAUCGGUGGCGAAAGCGCUCUACUGGACGACAACUGACACUCAGGGACGAAAGCUAGGGAGCGAAUGGGAUU